CAGUAACGGCGAGUGAAGCGGCAAGAGCUCAAAUUUGAAAGCUGGCCCCUUCGGGGUCCGCAUUGUAAUUUGCAGAGGAUGCUUCGGGUGCAGCCCCCGUCUAAGUGCCCUGGAAUGGGCCGUCAGAGAGGGUGAGAAUCCCGUCUGGGAUGGGGUGCCUGUGCCCGUGUGAAGCUCCUUCGACGAGUCGAGUUGUUUGGGAAUGCAGCUCUAAAUGGGUGGUAAAUUUCAUCUAAAGCUAAAUAUUGGCCGGAGACCGAUAGCGCACAAGUAGAGUGAUCGAAAGAUGAAAAGCACUUUGAAAAGAGAGUUAAACAGCACGUGAAAUUGUUGAAAGGGAAGCGCUUGCGACCAGACUCGCCUCCGGGGUUCAGCCGGCAUUCGUGCCGGUGUACUUCCCCGGGGGCGGGCCAGCGUCGGUUUGGGCGGCCGGUCAAAGGCCUCCGGAAUGUAGCGCCCUUCGGGGCGCCUUAUAGCCGGGGGUGCAAUGCGGCCAGCCUGGACCGAGGAACGCGCUUCGGCUCGGACGCUGGCAUAAUGGUCGUAAACGACCCGUCUUGAAACACGGACCAAGGAGUCUAACAUCUACGCGAGUGUUCGGGUGUCAAACCCGUACGCGCAGUGAAAGCGAACGGAGGUGAGAGCCCCCCCGUGGGGCGCAUCAUCGACCGAUCCUGAAGUCUUCGGAUGGAUUUGAGUAAGAGCGUAGCUGUGGGGACCCGAAAGAUGGUGAACUAUGCCUGAAUAGGGCGAAGCCAGAGGAAACUCUGG
RNAcentral lists this ribosomal RNA (771 nucleotides) under Aspergillus iizukae. RNAcentral's name for it is "partial large subunit ribosomal RNA". It matches the Rfam family "Eukaryotic large subunit ribosomal RNA", at positions 81 to 867 of the family's 3401-position model. Lineage: Eukaryota; Fungi; Ascomycota; Eurotiomycetes; Eurotiales; Aspergillaceae. The record is from RNAcentral.